This is a long non-coding RNA of Vespa velutina, 311 nucleotides long. RefSeq lists it as uncharacterized. The record is from RefSeq and is a predicted model, not a curated record. The transcript is spliced from 2 exons. Lineage: Eukaryota; Metazoa; Arthropoda; Insecta; Hymenoptera; Vespidae.
AACAGCUCGAGCUGACGCGGUUGAAACUAAUGCGACCCGUCUCUCUACCGAUCGGUCUUUCACCCCGCGGGACUCACUCUCGAGAGAUGGUUGGGGUUCAGUUCGGAAGGGUGGCGAAGGGAAUUUGAAGGUUUACUCACGGAGGGAAUAACCGUUCGAGGAGGAGUUUGGAGUGCUCGAUAUACCAAAAAGUCGACUUCCGCUUUUUCGAUCGAUCGACAUGGAGGCUGGCUGCCAUUGUUGACGUCUAUGUGUAUGUAUUUUUAAGUCUACGUUUGAGAAUAGUAAAAAGAAGAAGAAAAAAAAAAAAA